AGCGUGUGGUUUAAUUCGAUGCUACACGAAGAACCUUACCAGGGUUUGACAUACAAGUAGUAGGGAAAGGAAACUGGACCGACCCUUCGGGGAGCUUGUACAGGUGCUGCAUGGCUGUCGUCAGCUCGUGUCGUGAGAUGUUCGGUUAAGUCCGCUAACGAGCGCAACCCUCGCUGUGUGUUACAAGUGUCACACGGAACUGCCGGUCAUAAACCGGAGGAAGGUGGGGAUGACGUCAAGUCAGCAUGGCCUUUAUGACCAGGGCUACACACGUACUACAAUGGCCGGUACAAAGGGCAGCGACACAGCGAUGUGAAGCCAAUCCCGAAAAGCCGGUCUCAGUCCGGAUUGGAGUCUGCAACUCGACUCCAUGAAGUUGGAAUCGCUAGUAAUCGCGGAUCAGCACGCCGCGGUGAAUACGUUCCCGGGCCUU
Molecule: ribosomal RNA, 433 nt
Filed under: uncultured Bellilinea sp.
Lineage: Bacteria; Bacillati; Chloroflexota; Anaerolineae; Anaerolineales; Anaerolineaceae
Description: bacterial SSU rRNA
Rfam family: Bacterial small subunit ribosomal RNA
Source: RNAcentral